This 375-nucleotide ribosomal RNA is filed under the name Neisseria cinerea. RNAcentral's name for it is "bacterial SSU rRNA". It matches the Rfam family "Bacterial small subunit ribosomal RNA", at positions 1107 to 1483 of the family's 1533-position model. Lineage: Bacteria; Pseudomonadati; Pseudomonadota; Betaproteobacteria; Neisseriales; Neisseriaceae. The record is from RNAcentral.
GUCAUUAGUUGCCAUCAUUUAGUUGGGCACUCUAAUGAGACUGCCGGUGACAAGCCGGAGGAAGGUGGGGAUGACGUCAAGUCCUCAUGGCCCUUAUGACCAGGGCUUCACACGUCAUACAAUGGUCGGUACAGAGGGUAGCCAAGCCGCGAGGUGGAGCCAAUCUCACAAAACCGAUCGUAGUCCGGAUUGCACUCUGCAACUCGAGUGCAUGAAGUCGGAAUCGCUAGUAAUCGCAGGUCAGCAUACUGCGGUGAAUACGUUCCCGGGUCUUGUACACACCGCCCGUCACACCAUGGGAGUGGGGGAUACCAGAAGUAGGUAGGAUAACCGCAAGGGGUCCGCUUACCACGGUAUGCUUCAUGACUGGGGUGA